GACGAACGCUGGCGGCGUGCUUAACACAUGCAAGUCGAACGGAAAGGCCCUGCUUUUGUGGGGUGCUCGAGUGGCGAACGGGUGAGUAACACGUGAGUAACCUGCCCUUGACUUUGGGAUAACUUCAGGAAACUGGGGCUAAUACCGGAUAGGAGCUCCUGCUGCAUGGUGGGGGUUGGAAAGUUUCGGCGGUUGGGGAUGGACUCGCGGCUUAUCAGCUUGUUGGGGGGGUAGUGGCUUACCAAGGCUUUGACGGGUAGCCGGCCUGAGAGGGUGACCGGCCACAUUGGGACUGGGAUACGGCCCAGACUACUACGGGAGGCAGCAGUGGGGAAUAUUGCACAAUGGGCUGAAGCCUGAUGCAGCCACGCCGCGUGCGGGAUGACGGCCUUCGGGUUGUAAUCCGCUUUCGCCUGUGACGAAGCGUGAGUGACGGUAAUGGGUAAAGAAGCACCGGCUAACUACGUG
RNAcentral lists this ribosomal RNA (468 nucleotides) under uncultured bacterium. RNAcentral's name for it is "partial 16S ribosomal RNA". It matches the Rfam family "Bacterial small subunit ribosomal RNA", at positions 28 to 507 of the family's 1533-position model. The record is from RNAcentral.